AUGCUCAAAUCUGUUGUACAAGCCAUCCCCACCUAUGCCAUGUCCGUCUUUAAAAUUCCUAAAAAAAUCUGCAAAGGAAUUAUUGAUGCGAUGUCGCAAUUUUGGUGGGGUGACGAGGACAACCAGAAGAGGAUGCAUUGGAUGGCAUGGUGGAAAAUGUGUGUUCCAAAAGAUCAAGGAGGUAUGGGCUUCCGAGAUAUACACUGUUUCAACCUGGCUCUAUUAGCUAAACAAGUGUGGCGUCUUCUUGAUAAUCCUGAAUCUUUAUGUGCAACCAUAUUGAGAGUUAAAUAUUUCCCUAAGGGAGAUUUGAUGAACGCAAGGUUAAAGAAGGAAUCUCCGUUUACUUGGCAGAGCAUUAUGGCGGGAGUGAACUCUUUGAGAAAUGGUUAUAUCUGGCGAGUUGGAAAUGGACAAAACAUUGAUAUUUGGAGAGAUGCAUGGAUUCCGAAUUAUGCGAGUAGGAAAAUUAUUACUCCUAGAGGUGGGCAACUUCUGUCAAAGGUGGCUGAUCUUAUUGAUCCAACCACAAAUUCUUGGGAUGAAGAUUUGGUGAGACAAACUUUGUGGCCAAUUGAUGUGCAAAGGGUCCUCGCGAUUCCCCUUACUAUGCAUAACAUGUCGGAUUUCAUUGCCUGGAGCUAUACAAAAAAUGGUGUAUUCACUGUUCGAUUAGCUUAUUCGGAGGAAUGGAACCAACAACACGGGAGGAAAUUGCAAUAUACUAAUGCUAUGGGUCCUACCAAUGUCAAUCCUAUUUGGGGAAAGAUUUGGAAAUUAUCGUGUCCGGCAAAGGUAAAAAUAUUUAUCUGGCGAACGUUGCAUGGAACUCUACCGUGUCGUGUUACACUUACCAAUAGACAUAUGAAAGUUUCGCCCCUUUGUCCAUCAUGCUCAAAUGGGCAAGAAGAUACAAAACACCUCUUGUUUUUGUGUGAGAAGGCAAAAGAGGUUUGGGGUAAGCUGGGGAUGUACGAGGUAAUUAAGAAAGCUUGUGUUAUUGAUCAUGCUGGUGAGGCGGUUCUUGAAUUCUUACUUCUUAUGCCGCACCAAGAACUAUCUAUAUUAGGAUGCCAGAAUGCAAGUGAAUUAAUCGCGAUAACCGCUUGGUAUUUAUGGUGGGAGAGACGCAUGUUGGUUCAUGAAGGGAAGUCUCAAGAUGUGAACCAGAUUUCGAUGGGGGUUCGUGCUAUAACGGCAAACUAUGUGAAUCCCCACUCACCUAGUGCAUCUAGUAGAAAAGAAGGAUGGAGCCGACCUCCUAUGGGUUUUGUUAAACUAAAUGUUGAUGCUUAUUUUGACCAUGAUCUGCUCAGGGGCACGGUAGGUGCUGUACUCAGAGAUGACAAAGGAAAAUUCAUUGUUGGCGGAAAUGGGAAGAUCGAUUGGUGUGCUGAUGUACUAACAACAGAAGCGAUGGCUCUGAGGUUUGGUUUAAUUCUUGCACAAAAGGCGGGAUGCAAUCGUCUUAUUAUUAACUCUGAUAAUAUGGAAGUCAUUGACACAAUGAAAAAUGGAGGACAAUCGGUGGGAGUUGCGGCGGCAGUAUUCGAGGAUUGCUACUUCAUGGCAUGUGAUUUUCUGUUGACUAGAUUUGAACAUUGUAAUAGGACAGCUAAUAAGGUUGCUCAUGAACUUGCUAGGCUAGCGAAAGUUUCUGUAACUAGAGAUUGGUUUGAGGAGCCUAUGGAGAAUAUUGUACCUCUUCUUAUAGACGAUGUAACCAUUAUUUCCAAUCAGUAA
RNAcentral lists this ribosomal RNA (1743 nucleotides) under Triticum aestivum (bread wheat). Its description in RNAcentral is "partial small subunit ribosomal RNA". The record is from RNAcentral. Lineage: Eukaryota; Viridiplantae; Streptophyta; Magnoliopsida; Poales; Poaceae.